Hyla sarda is the source of this 844-nucleotide long non-coding RNA. RefSeq lists it as uncharacterized. NCBI's taxonomy places the organism in Eukaryota, Metazoa, Chordata, Amphibia, Anura, Hylidae. The transcript has 3 exons. The record is from RefSeq and is a predicted model, not a curated record.
GUCUCUGUUUAAUCCCGUGAUUGGUUACAAACUGCCUUCUUGUUCAUCUAUAAAUAUUGAUAGACGUUUUGAACAAUCACAAGAUCUCAUCCAUUUCAGAGCAAGAAACAGCAAUCAUGAACCAUCCUACUCAAGGAAAAAAUCAAGGACCACAUCAACCACAUCCUGAUCCUCACCACCCAGGUCCUCAUGGAGACCAUCCACCUGGACACAAAGGAGAACCUGGACACCAUCCACCUCAAGGCAAGGGACCUCAUGACCAGCAUGGACAUCAUGACCAACAUGGACCUCAUGGUCAACCUGGGCCACAUGGAAAGCAUUAAUAUCUAAAACAUUGUCUCAGGGAAUUCAGCAUCAUCAAAGAUGUGUCUACUAUAAAUUCCCCGUGUUAUCUUUUCUUGCUGGAGAUCAGCAAAGAUUUGUUUGAAUCAUGUCCAAAAUGUCACAAUGUCGCUAUCUUUUCUUAUUUGAAAACAUUUAUGUCAGUGCUAUAGUUAUAACAUAUUAUCACAUUUGAGCAUUUGAUAAACCAUAAAACUAAUAAUGUUCUGUAUCUAUAAAGUGGUAGGACACUAUAUCUCUAAAUGACCAGUACUUACUUCAUAAAUAAAAAACCUCAAAGCCUUCUGUGUAUAUCAUAUGUUUAUGCUGUGCGUUUGAAUACAAUAACUAUUUUGUUUUAUACCUUUUAACAAAAUUAUACCUUUCCACAAUAUUAGCCAAGAAAUGUGGAUCCAUCAAUUCAUAUCAACAUAGAAAAUGCAGCAUCCAUUCUAGUUCAGAAACACAUUGCACAAGAACAUAUUAUUCAUGUAGCUAAAAAAAAUUAGAAAUAAAUUCUGUU